Molecule: non-coding RNA, 96 nt
Filed under: Providencia burhodogranariea
Lineage: Bacteria; Pseudomonadati; Pseudomonadota; Gammaproteobacteria; Enterobacterales; Morganellaceae
Description: TPP sequence
Rfam family: TPP riboswitch aptamer (THI element)
About the family: Vitamin B(1) in its active form thiamin pyrophosphate (TPP) is an essential coenzyme that is synthesised by coupling of pyrimidine and thiazole moieties in bacteria. The previously detected thiamin-regulatory element, thi box was extended, resulting in a new, highly conserved RNA secondary structure, the THI element, which is widely distributed in eubacteria and also occurs in some archaea. Analysis of operon structures identified a large number of new candidate thiamin-regulated genes, mostly transporters, in various prokaryotic organisms.
Source: RNAcentral
AUUGUCUCAACGGGGUGCCGAAAUAUUAGGCUGAGAAUUAACCCGUAGAACCUGAUCCGGGCAAUGCCGGCGUAGGGAUUUGAGCUGCCGUCAGUA